UACAGAGGGUGCGAGCGUUAAUCGGAAUUACUGGGCGUAAAGCGUGCGUAGACGGUUAUGUAAGUCAGGUGUGAAAGCCCCGGGCUCAACCUGGGAAUUGCAUUUGAGACUGCAUAGCUAGGGUGCGGAAGAGGGAAGCGGAAUUUCCGGUGUAGCGGUGAAAUGCGUAGAUAUCUGGAGGAACACCGGUGGCGAAGGCGGCAUCCUGGACCGACACUGACGCUGAGGAGCGAAAGCCAGGGGAGCAAACGGG
This 253-nucleotide ribosomal RNA is filed under the name uncultured bacterium. RNAcentral's name for it is "partial 16S ribosomal RNA". It matches the Rfam family "Bacterial small subunit ribosomal RNA", at positions 524 to 776 of the family's 1533-position model. The record is from RNAcentral.